GAUGAACGCUGGCGGCGUGCCUAGUACAUGCAAGUCGAGCGAACGGACGAGAAGCUUGCUUCUCUGAUGUUAGCGGCGGACGGGUGAGUAACACGUGGAUAACCUACCUAUAAGACUGGGAUAACUUCGGGAAACCGGAGCUAAUACCGGAUGAUAUUUUGAACCGCAUGGUUCAAAAGUGAAAGACGGUCUUGCUGUCACUUAUAGAUGGAUCCGCGCUGCAUUAGCUAGUUGGUAAGGUAACGGCUUACCAAGGCAACGAUGCAUAGCCGACCUGAGAGGGUGAUCGGCCACACUGGAACUGAGACACGGUCCAGACUCCUACGGGAGGCAGCAGUAGGGAAUCUUCCGCAAAGGGCGAAAGCCUGACGGAGCAACGCCGCGUGAGUGAUGAAGGUCUUCGGAUCGUAAAACUCUGUUAUUAGGGAAGAACAUAUGUGUAAGUAACUGUGCACAUCUUGACGGUACCUAAUCAGAAAGCCACGGCUAACUACGUG
RNAcentral lists this ribosomal RNA (497 nucleotides) under uncultured bacterium. RNAcentral's name for it is "partial 16S ribosomal RNA". It matches the Rfam family "Bacterial small subunit ribosomal RNA", at positions 28 to 507 of the family's 1533-position model. The record is from RNAcentral.